This 253-nucleotide unclassified non-coding RNA is filed under the name Hevea brasiliensis (rubber tree). The record is from RNAcentral. Lineage: Eukaryota; Viridiplantae; Streptophyta; Magnoliopsida; Malpighiales; Euphorbiaceae.
CGCGAAUUCGGCGAUGCCGACCGCUGCGCUCAGGAUGAGAAACAACAGGAUCAGUUCGCCGAGGUUCGAUCGCCACUGAUUUGGCAGCGUCAUCAUGACGAACACAGCCAUGCACGCGACGAUAUAUGUGUCGAGGAUAUAGCCGGAUGACGUGCUCUGGCCGCUCACCGAGAGCAUGAGAAGCAAGCCGCAAAUGCCGGCCAGAAAAACGAUAAUCGCGCGAAGGAUACCGACAUCCUGUGCGCUCAGCUCG